UACGUAGGGUGCAAGCGUUGUCCGGAAUUAUUAGGCGUAAAGAGCUCGUAGGCGGUCUGUCGCGUCGGAUGUGAAAAUCCAGGGCUCAACCCUGGACCUGCAUUCGAUACGGGCAGACUAGAGUUCGGCAGGGGAGACUGGAAUUCCUGGUGUAGCGGUGAAAUGCGCAGAUAUCAGGAGGAACACCGGUGGCGAAGGCGGGUCUCUGGGCCGAUACUGACGCUGAGGAGCGAAAGCGUGGGGAGCGAACAGG
This 253-nucleotide ribosomal RNA is filed under the name uncultured bacterium. Its description in RNAcentral is "partial 16S ribosomal RNA". It matches the Rfam family "Bacterial small subunit ribosomal RNA", at positions 524 to 776 of the family's 1533-position model. The record is from RNAcentral.